Molecule: transfer RNA, 91 nt
Filed under: Felis catus (domestic cat)
Lineage: Eukaryota; Metazoa; Chordata; Mammalia; Carnivora; Felidae
Also listed under: 1 other name
Rfam family: tRNA
About the family: Transfer RNA (tRNA) molecules are approximately 80 nucleotides in length.
Source: Rfam by way of RNAcentral
GCCUGGGUGGCUCAGUCGGUUGAGCUCCUGACUCUUGAUUUCAACUCAGGUCAUGAUCCCAGAGUCAUGGGAUUGAGUCCCAUGUCAGGCU